Molecule: ribosomal RNA, 489 nt
Filed under: uncultured Flavobacterium sp.
Lineage: Bacteria; Pseudomonadati; Bacteroidota; Flavobacteriia; Flavobacteriales; Flavobacteriaceae
Description: bacterial SSU rRNA
Rfam family: Bacterial small subunit ribosomal RNA
Source: RNAcentral
CUGAUCCAGCCAUGCCGCGUGCAGGAAGACGGUCCUAUGGAUUGUAAACUGCUUUUAUACAGGAAGAAACACCUCUACGUGUAGAGGCUUGACGGUACUGUAAGAAUAAGGAUCGGCUAACUCCGUGCCAGCAGCCGCGGUAAUACGGAGGAUCCAAGCGUUAUCCGGAAUCAUUGGGUUUAAAGGGUCCGUAGGCGGCCUUAUAAGUCAGUGGUGAAAUCUCCUAGCUCAACUAGGAAACUGCCAUUGAUACUGUAGGGCUUGAAUUAUUAGGAAGUAACUAGAAUAUGUAGUGUAGCGGUGAAAUGCUUAGAUAUUACAUGGAAUACCAAUUGCGAAGGCAGGUUACUACUAAUUGAUUGACGCUGAUGGACGAAAGCGUGGGUAGCGAACAGGAUUAGAUACCCUGGUAGUCCACGCCGUAAACGAUGGAUACUAGCUGUUCGGAGCAAUCUGAGUGGCUAAGCGAAAGUGAUAAGUAUCCCACCU